This is a long non-coding RNA of Mustela erminea (ermine), 423 nucleotides long. RefSeq lists it as uncharacterized. The transcript is spliced from 3 exons. The record is from RefSeq and is a predicted model, not a curated record. NCBI's taxonomy places the organism in Eukaryota, Metazoa, Chordata, Mammalia, Carnivora, Mustelidae.
UGUCAUCAUGUUCUAAGCGGAUACAGGAGAAGCUCAUCAGGCCACAUGGCAAGGAAGCCUUAAGCUGCCUGCUUGACUUGAUUCAUCUGCUUGCUUUCUGAAGACAAGGGUACGGGAAAGAGAAAUCAGAGCUAUACUGAACACAACGGCAAGCCAAAUGAUCAGAUGCAGAGACAAGAGAGUCUUCAAUGAGUCCUGUUUUGACUUUUACAAAAGGAACUGUAGUUCCGCUCCUGAAAAUAAAUCAAGAAAGAAGAGAGCUAUGUAAAGAAAACGCCCAAAUAGACCAUAUACAAGGAGACAGAAGCUUAAUAAAAAACAACAACAACAAAAAGACAUGGUUGAGGAGCCAGUUGGAAUCUGGGUGAGAUAGCAGGUGAUGGUGAUUGAAAACAUUGAUCUUCAAACUGGAUUCAUCUGAUG